CCUACGGGAGGCAGCAGUGGGGAAUUUUGGACAAUGGGCGCAAGCCUGAUCCAGCAAUGCCGCGUGAGUGAAGAAGGCCUUCGGGUUGUAAAGCUCUUUUGUCAGGGAAGAAACGGUGGAGGUUAAUACCUUCUGCUAAUGACGGUACCUGAAGAAUAAGCACCGGCUAACUACGUGCCAGCAGCCGCGGUAAUACGUAGGGUGCAAGCGUUAAUCGGAAUUACUGGGCGUAAAGCGUGCGCAGGCGGUUGUGCAAGACAGAUGUGAAAUCCCCGGGCUCAACCUGGGAAUUGCAUUUGUGACUGUACGGCUAGAGUGUGUCAGAGGGGGGUAGAAUUCCACGUGUAGCAGUGAAAUGCGUAGAGAUGUGGAGGAAUACCGAUGGCGAAGGCAGCCCCCUGGGAUAACACUGACGCUCAUGCACGAAAGCGUGGGGAGCAAACAGGAUUAGAUACCCUGGUAGUCCACGCCCUAAACGAUGUCUACUAGUUGUCGGGUCUUUAUUGACUUGGUAACGCAGCUAACGCGUGAAGUAGACCGCCUGGGGAGUACGGUCGCAAGNUUAAAACUCAAAGGAUUGACGG
RNAcentral lists this ribosomal RNA (584 nucleotides) under uncultured bacterium. RNAcentral's name for it is "bacterial SSU rRNA". It matches the Rfam family "Bacterial small subunit ribosomal RNA", at positions 338 to 916 of the family's 1533-position model. The record is from RNAcentral.